RNAcentral lists this ribosomal RNA (257 nucleotides) under uncultured bacterium. RNAcentral's name for it is "partial 16S ribosomal RNA". It matches the Rfam family "Bacterial small subunit ribosomal RNA", at positions 524 to 776 of the family's 1533-position model. The record is from RNAcentral.
UACGUAGGGUGCAAGCGUUUGUCCGGAAUUAUUGGGCGUAAAGAGCUCGUAGGCGGUCUGUCGCGUCGGCUGUGAAAACUCGGGGCUCAACCCCGAGCCUGCAGUCGAUACGGGCAGACUAGAGUGCUGUAGGGGAGACUGGAAGUUCCUGGUGUAGCGGUGAAAUGACGCAGAUAUCAGGAGGAACACCGGUGGCGAAGGCGGGUCUCUGGGCAGUAACUGACGCUGGAGGAGCGAAAGCGUGGGGAGCGAACAGG